RNAcentral lists this ribosomal RNA (740 nucleotides) under uncultured bacterium. RNAcentral describes it as "bacterial SSU rRNA". It matches the Rfam family "Bacterial small subunit ribosomal RNA", at positions 8 to 796 of the family's 1533-position model. The record is from RNAcentral.
AGAGUUUGAUCCUGGCUCAGAACGAACGCUGGCGGCAGGCUUAACACAUGCAAGUCGAGCGCCCAGCAAUGGGAGCGGCGGACGGGUGAGUAACACGUGGGAAUAUGCCUUUCGGUACGGAACAACUCAGGGAAACUUGAGCUAAUGCCGUAUGCGCCCUUACGGGGAAAGAUUUAUCGCCGAAAGAUUAGCCCGCGUUGGAUUAGCUAGUUGGUGGGGUAACGGCCUACCAAGGCAACGAUCCAUAGCUGGUUUGAGAGAACGACCAGCCACACUGGGACUGAGACACGGCCCAGACUCCUACGGGAGGCAGCAGUGGGGAAUCUUGGACAAUGGGGGAAACCCUGAUCCAGCCAUGCCGCGUGAGUGAUGAAGGCCUUCGGGUUGUAAAACUCUUUUACCUGGGAAGAUAAUGACUGUACCAGGAGAAUAAGCCCCGGCUAACUUCGUGCCAGCAGCCGCGGUAAUACGAAGGGGGCUAGCGUUGUUCGGAAUUACUGGGCGUAAAGCGUGCGCAGGCGGCUUCUCAAGUCAGGGGUGAAAGCCCAGAGCUCAACUCUGGAAUUGCCUUUGAAACUGUGAAGCUUGAGUACGAGAGAGGUAAGUGGAAUUCCCAGUGUAGAGGUGAAAUUCGUAGAUAUUGGGAAGAACACCGGUGGCGAAGGCGGCUUACUGGCUCGUAACUGACGCUCAUGCACGACAGCGUGGGGAUCAAACAGGAUUAGAUACCCUAGUAGUCC